This is a long non-coding RNA of Ictalurus punctatus (channel catfish), 281 nucleotides long. The record is from Ensembl. Lineage: Eukaryota; Metazoa; Chordata; Actinopteri; Siluriformes; Ictaluridae.
GUGGGGAGUAUGAGGAGUGUGUGAAGAGUGUGUGAGGAGUGUGAGGAGUGUGUGAGGAGUGUGUGAGGAGUGUGAAGUGUAUGAGGACUGUAGCUGAUGUUUUAGCGAGGCUCAGUCACUGGGAUUUAGUUUCGGUCAUGUGCUGGGAUUGAAUUGUUACCGGCGCUGCACGUGAAUAUGAGAUUAUAUAGAAUUACAUGUCGGGUGUGUUUCAGGUGUAAUAAAGCCGUGUCUUUAUGUCCUGUCUGAAUGAUCAUUUUCAUAUUCACAUGAAUAUUAAG